CCGGCUGGCGUGCUGGAACAGAGACUGCUGCGGGCGCUGCUGAGACUCGAGGGCAGUCGACAUCAGCUGACGGAGCGCGAGCGUCAGCUGCUGGAGCGGCGCCGCGCCGUGGAGGAGGUGCUGCGGCGACAGGCGGCGCUCGAACAUGAGGAGCGGGCCGUGCGCAGUCUGGAGCGGCGCGCACUGCGCCGGGGCGUGCCCGGAGACGGUGCCGCCUCUGUCCCGGCGGACCGGCCGUCGGCGGGGACCGGCGCCGACACCUCCCAGUCCCAGGAGGAGGGCGGUCGGUCGGCCGCCCGCACCGCCACCGCCAC
Molecule: long non-coding RNA, 314 nt
Organism: Amphibalanus amphitrite
Lineage: Eukaryota; Metazoa; Arthropoda; Thecostraca; Balanomorpha; Balanidae
Exons: 3
Source: RefSeq, a predicted model, not a curated record